This 321-nucleotide ribosomal RNA is filed under the name Triticum aestivum (bread wheat). RNAcentral's name for it is "partial small subunit ribosomal RNA". Lineage: Eukaryota; Viridiplantae; Streptophyta; Magnoliopsida; Poales; Poaceae. The record is from RNAcentral.
AUGGAGUGGGAGGGAGAGGGCAGCGAGCAGGGGAAUCUUCGAGCAGCAGCACACAAGAUCAGCGGCGCCUGGGGUCACCUGGUGGAGGCUCGAGGGUGGCUGGGGCGGCGGCGCUCAGGGUCCAGGGGAGCGCAGCGGGCGAGGCCCUUGGGAUGGCGAUGGGGAAUUUCAGCAGCGGGGAGGAGUCCCGGCGGCACCAUGGUAGCAGGGGCGGGGGGAGCCGCCAAUGGCCACGGCGUCGGUGGCGGCGCGCGGCGGCGAGGGGAGAGGGGGGCGGCCGGCGGGAGGUGGCGAAGCGCUCGAGCCUGGAGGUCAAGAUGA